UUCUGCAUGACGCGACCUUCCCUUUGGAGAUGACGUAGACGGUACAGAAGUCUGGCACCAUUUUCGUCACGUUGCCUGUAAUAUCAACCGUCUUGAAUCUUCUGUGCCAAGAGUUUUGUAAAUCUGUUACCUGACAAAGCCAUUCUUGGGUGAGGAACCGAUCACCAGUGUCUCGAUGGAGUUGUUCUUGACGUACUCGCUCAGGGCCUUUGCUACGUCCGAGUCUUCUAGUAUCACUUCAUGCACUUGAAUCUGAGCCCAGAAUUCGUAAGCAGCGGAAAGGAAGGAACAGUUCUUUUGAUGACUCGUUGUCAGAGAAACUCAUUCUACCUCCCACUAAAUCAUAUCAUCAUAAGAGGUAACAAUUAGAUUUAUAUCUUUGAAUUUUUAAUAACAUAGAUAGAUAUAUAUAGAGCGAGAGAGAGUACGUGGGAAAGAGCUCUUGAGUUUGACAUGAACAAGGGUGACAUUUUUGCCUUUGCCCAAGAGAUGAUCGACAGCCCAUUUCAAUGCAGCUUGGCUCCCUUUGUCUUUGUCGAUGGCUACCGCAACCGUCUCUUGGCUCUUCUCUCCAUUCCCUCUAUGGCUUGACAUUUUUUCAAUCUUGAUUCUUUAUUUUCUUCUUUGAAAGAGAAAAUAAAUUGUAGAUUGGCCAAAAGAGAGAAUGGAUGUGAGAAAAAGGCAAAAAUGUUAGAAAGUCCCUCAAGAUCUCUUUGUUCCCUCUUUGGAGAUGAGUAAGACAAUGAAUCCUGUUACAGAUUCAUUGAGGCAAAUGAAAUCCAUAUUGGAUGGAGUUUUGUGUAA
Salvia hispanica is the source of this 804-nucleotide long non-coding RNA. RefSeq lists it as uncharacterized. The record is from RefSeq and is a predicted model, not a curated record. Lineage: Eukaryota; Viridiplantae; Streptophyta; Magnoliopsida; Lamiales; Lamiaceae.